GGAGCUUCAGAGUACCUGGUUAUAACAUGAAUGUACUUGGUUACAAACUUAACCAAAGAUCUGUAAAUAAUAUACAACACAAAUAUAGUGCAGAUGGUCUGUACAAUUUCAAUAUAAAUAAGGAAGUGAUAAUUCACAACUCACAGGUUUUAGAGCCAAUUGAUCACCUGGCUCUAGUGUAUAAUGCUUCAGGAUAUUUUAAGGGUGAUCCACUACCCCCUUGUACCUCC
Non-coding RNA from Pelobates cultripes (western spadefoot toad), 230 nucleotides. The record is from the annotation of a GenBank genome assembly. Lineage: Eukaryota; Metazoa; Chordata; Amphibia; Anura; Pelobatidae.